GAUCAUGGCUCAGGAUGAACGCUAGCGAUAGGCUUAACACAUGCAAGUCGAGGGGUAACGUGUUGGAAGCUUGCUUCCGAUGACGACGACCGGCGGAUGGGUGCGUAACGCGUAUGCAACUUGCCUCACAGUGGAGAAUAACCCGGAGAAAUCCGGACUAAUGUUCCAUACACUCUUAAGUACGCCUGUACAUGAGAGGAAAGAUUUAUCGCUGUGAGAUAGGCAUGCG
RNAcentral lists this ribosomal RNA (229 nucleotides) under uncultured bacterium. RNAcentral's name for it is "partial 16S ribosomal RNA". It matches the Rfam family "Bacterial small subunit ribosomal RNA", at positions 15 to 235 of the family's 1533-position model. The record is from RNAcentral.